GAAUGGGUAGCCAGGGAGGGCAACUGCCCCCUUACAGGGCCCAAUGUAUAUAAAACCCUGGGAGUCUGUAUGCCUGUGACUAUAGCACUCCGAGCUUGGACACCCCAGCUUUGAGGCUGCUGCUGCUGCUAAAAUGUCAGAGACUAACCUGAGAAUCAGUGGGGGGGCGGUGAGGUUUGGGGCGACCUAUGGGGGCAACAGGCUCUUCUCUGGGGGCAGGAGCGGUGGAGGUGGCGGCGGAGGGGCUGGAAUGGCCCUCUCCAGGUCUCUUGGAAUGGGCGGGGGUGGAAGAGCAGGACUCGGUAUGAGAGGAGGGAUGGGGCUAGGCAUGGGGAUGGGAAUGGGUGGAGGCCUUGGGAUGGGAGGAGGCCUGGGGAUGGGAGGAGGCCUGGGGAUGGGAAUGGGUGGAGGCUUUGGGAUGGGGGGAGGCCUGGGGAUGGGGGGCGGAGGAGGUCUUGGGAUGGGAAUGGGUGGACGUGCCCUGGCUCUAGGAGCCGGCGGUGGAGGGGUCAGUGCAGCAGGAUUCAGGGCUGGCGUGGCCCCACUCAGGGCUCGCUUGGGUGGCCGGGUCUUCAAGAUCGGAGGCUAUGGCUUCAACCCGUCUUUCCUGAGCUCCACCACUGCAGUGGGUGGUGACGUGGGUGUCAGCCCUGUGCCAAGCAUCGAUCCCUCGCUACCCUCGCUCGACACAGUCCAGGUGACCCGCCUAAAGGAGAAGGAGGAGCUGCAGGUCCUCAAUGACAAGUUUGCCACCUUCAUUGACAAGGCUCGCUCUCUGGAGCAGACCAACGCUGUGUUGAGGGCCAAGAUCGCCAUGUUCACCAACCCGGACCAGAGCGGCCCUGCCAACACCUCCAUCCUGCUCACCUCUGCCAUCGGUACCUACAAGAUCCAGAUUGAUGGCCUGUCUGCCACCAAGGAGGCCAUUGUUGCUGAGAUUGAGCACUACAAGAGCAUCAUCGAAGAUGUCCAGAGCAGGUUUGAGGAGGAGACUGUCCAAACCAAGUCAUUAGAGAUGGACUGGACCACAUUAAAAGAGGAGGUAGACAAUCUCUACAUGAGCAUUUUUGAGCUUCAAACCAACAUUGGCGGACUGGAAGAUCAGAUUGGUCUCUCAAAGCAGGUGUAUGAUGCUAAAGUGAAGGAGGUGAGGAACAUCAUGACGGGCAGUGUGAGGUCAGCCUUCUCCAUCUCGGUGGACAACGCAGCCCAAGCCCAGGACCUGACCUCUGCCCUGUCGGACGUCAAGUCCCACUAUGAAGCCCUGGCCCAGCGCAGCAAGCAGGACGCCCUUGUUUCUGUGCAGGACAGUCUCUCCAUGAUGUCCAUGACGUCCCAGCCCAGUACCCAGACUCUGACCCAAACCAAAGAGGAGCUGCGCAUGUACAAACUGCAGAUCGACUCAGUACAGAGGGAGAUCGACAGACUCAAGACCCUGAACAUCCAGAUGGAAUCUCAGGUGGAUGAGGCAGAGUCCCACUCCAGCUCCCACACAGAGACCUAUCAGGAGCAGGUGCUGACCCUCAAGUUGCAGCUGGAUGACAUCAGAAAGCAAAUAACACACUAUGGUCAAGAGUACCAGGAACUCCUGGCCAGUAAAAUGUCUCUAGAUGUUGAGAUCACUGCAUACAAGAAGCUUCUGGACAGCGAGGAGAGCAGACUGAGGUCAGGAGGCGGCGUGACCGUGCACAUGUCUAAGACUGCCAUUGGAGGGGGAGGUGGGGCUGGCCUGGCCCUGGCCCUGGGAGGAGGCGGCGGCGGCAUGGGUCUGGGAGGAGGAGGCGGCGGCAUGGGUCUGGGAGGAGGAGGAGGAGGAGGCGGCGGCAUGGGUCUGGGAGGAGGAGGAGGAGGCGGCGGCGGCGGCAUGGGUCUGGGCGGUGGCUACAGAAUGGGCGGAGGCCUAGGAGGUGGCUUUGGAGGGGGUCUGGGCAGUGGCUUUGGAGGUUUUGGAGGAGGUCUGGGGUUAGGAGGAGGUGGAGGGUCUUUCGGAGGUGGGGGAUCCUACGGAGGCGGGGGGUCCUUCGGCGGCGGGAGCAGCUACAUGUCAUCCAGCCUGAGCAGCAGUGGACGUGAGUACAGCUCCCAUCUCUAUGAACUAGUUUUACUUUUAUCUGUAAUGCCUCCUUUAAAACAAUACUAUUACUGGCGCCAUCUUAAAGGAAUAUCACACUCCCAAGAUAAGUCCAUGUCACAGGCCAUCCACAAGCUAAAAUGAAUGGAAAAGCACCAUGGUAUUUCCAGAUUUGUUGUACGUGUCUUUGAAUUUCUUUGGGUUGGGGCGGCAGGUAGCCUAGUGGUUUGAGUGGAGGGGCGGCAGGUAGCCUAGUGGUUUGAGUGGAGGGGCGGCAGGUAGCCUAGUGGUUUGAGUGGAGGGGCGGCAGGUAGCCUAGUGGUUUGAGUGGAGGGGCGGCAGGUAGCCUAGUGGUUUGAGUGGAGGGGCGGCAGGUAGCCUAGUGGUUUGAGUGGAGGGGCGGCAGGUAGCCUAGUGGUUUGAGUGGAGGGGCGGCAGGUAGCCUAGUGGUUUGAGUGGAGGGGCGGCAGGUAGCCUAGUGGUUUGAGUGGAGGGGCGGCAGGUAGCCUAGUGGUUUGAGUGGAGGGGCGGCAGGUAGCCUAGUGGUUUGAGUGGAGGGGCGGCAGGUAGCCUAGUGGUUUGAGUGGAGGGGCGGCAGGUAGCCUAGUGGUUUGAGUGGAGGGGCGGCAGGUAGCCUAGUGGUUUGAGUGGAGGGGCGGCAGGUAGCCUAGUGGUUUGAGUGGAGGGGCGGCAGGUAGCCUAGUGGUUUGAGCGUUGGACGAGUAACCGAAAGGUGGCAAGAUAAAAAUCUGUCGUUCUGCCCCUGAACAAGGCAGUUAACCCAUCAUUGAAAAUAAGAAUUUAUUCUUAACUGACUUGCUUAGUUAAAUAAAGGUUAAAAUAAUACAUUAAAUAGCAGGGUCUACACAACUUAUUGCUUGGGACAUGGACU
This is an RNA transcript of Oncorhynchus keta (chum salmon), 2963 nucleotides long. RefSeq lists it as uncharacterized. Lineage: Eukaryota; Metazoa; Chordata; Actinopteri; Salmoniformes; Salmonidae. The transcript is spliced from 14 exons. The record is from RefSeq and is a predicted model, not a curated record.